ACGAACGCUGGCGGCGUGCUUAAACCAUGCAAGUCGAACGGAAAGGCCCUGCUUUUGUGGGGUGCUCGAGUGGCGACCGGGGGAUUAACCCGUGAGUAACCUGCCCUUGACUUUGGGAUAACUUCAGAAAACUGGGGCUAAUACCGGAUAGGAGCUCCUGCUGCAUGGGGGGGGUUGGAAAGUUUCGGCGGUUGGGGAUGGACUCGCGGCUUAUCAGCUUGUUGGUGGGGUAGUGGCUUACCAAGGCUUUGACGGGUAGCCGGCCUGAGAGGGUGACCGGCCACAUUGGGACUGAGAUACGGCCCAGACUCCUACGGGAGGCAGCAGUGGGGAAUAUUGCACAAUGGGCGGAAGCCUGAUGCAGCAACGCCGCGUGCGGGAUGACGGCCUUCGGGUUGUAAACCGCUUUCGCCUGUGACGAAGCGUGAGUGACAGUAAUGGGUAAAGAAGCACCGGCUAACUACGUG
This 467-nucleotide ribosomal RNA is filed under the name uncultured bacterium. RNAcentral describes it as "partial 16S ribosomal RNA". It matches the Rfam family "Bacterial small subunit ribosomal RNA", at positions 29 to 507 of the family's 1533-position model. The record is from RNAcentral.